RNAcentral lists this long non-coding RNA (209 nucleotides) under Nicotiana benthamiana. RNAcentral describes it as "long non-coding RNA (NBEN_LNC015948)". The record is from RNAcentral. Lineage: Eukaryota; Viridiplantae; Streptophyta; Magnoliopsida; Solanales; Solanaceae.
CCGAACAUAUUUUUCAAUGAAAAUGCCAUAAUAAUUACAAUUAAGCAAAAUAACAACACACAAAAAUAUUCUUAGCACGUAAGAGUUGAAACGAGGUUACCAGAUUGACGAACAACUUCUUGAAAAUUGAAAAUUGUUGAAAUUGAAACUUGAAAACUUCAAUUCAACAACUUCACAAUGUUUCACGAAUUUGCAACAAUAAAUUAAGN